CGCGCGGGCGGCGUCGCUGAAAGCCGGUGCCAGCAGCCGCGGUAAUACGGAGGGUGCAAGCGUUAUCCGGAUUUAUUGGGUUUAAAGGGUCCGUAGGCGGGGCUCUAAGUCAGUGGUGAAAGCCUGCAGCUCAACUGUAGAAUUGCCAUUGAUACUGGAGCUCUUGAGUACAUUUGAAGUUAGCGGAAUGUGUCAUGUAGCGGUGAAAUGCUUAGAUAUGACACAGAACACCGAUUGCGAAGGCAGCUAA
Molecule: ribosomal RNA, 250 nt
Filed under: uncultured bacterium
Lineage: Bacteria
Description: partial 16S ribosomal RNA
Rfam family: Bacterial small subunit ribosomal RNA
Source: RNAcentral